GUAGUAUUGCCAAGACUGUUUUUAAAAAUGUUCAGUAUAAUCUUCAAACUAUAUCUACGUCUUACUUUCUGAAUGUGUUGUUGGACUUUGAUAUAUGUUCUCCUACUCGGCCGUCCCACUGUAGAUCUCCUUUUAGAGUCCCACAGCAGGUCUACUGUAGAUCUCCUUUUAGAGUCCCACAGCAGGUCUACUGUAGAUCUCCUUCUAGAGUCCCACAGCAGGUCUACUGUAGAUCUCCUUUUAGAGUCCCAGAGCAGGUCUACUGUAGAUCUCCUUUUAGAGUCCCAGAGCAGGUCUACUGUAGAUCUCCUUUUAGAGUCCCACAGCAGGUCUACUGUAGAUCUCCUUU
This is a long non-coding RNA of Oncorhynchus keta (chum salmon), 349 nucleotides long. RefSeq lists it as uncharacterized. NCBI's taxonomy places the organism in Eukaryota, Metazoa, Chordata, Actinopteri, Salmoniformes, Salmonidae. The record is from RefSeq and is a predicted model, not a curated record. The transcript has 3 exons.